This 426-nucleotide long non-coding RNA is filed under the name Helianthus annuus (common sunflower). Lineage: Eukaryota; Viridiplantae; Streptophyta; Magnoliopsida; Asterales; Asteraceae. The record is from RNAcentral.
GGAGUAAAACUCUAAACCAAGAAUUAAACCCCUACCCUCAUCCAUCUUCUUCGCGAGGCAGUAGAAACCCUACCCCCCUCUCCUUGGUCGCACAAUCUCAGCAACGGAAACCCCCUCCCGUGUGUGUGUGUUAACCAUCUAUACCUUCUCGUUCGUUAUCCGGUUAGUAUAAUCGUUCCCGUUUCAUCUACGUGUAUAUCUAUGUUGCGUGAUGUCGUUAGGUAUCUUGGAUUUGGGGAACUUGCUGUUUGGGGUAGCUGGAGUGGUCAUGGGUCGACUGGGAGGAUUUAUGUGAUUGAUUUCAUGAAACUAUACUUGGGGUUUUGAAACAGUUUAACUUCGUUUACUAUUUGCUUCCGCUGAACUUAUUGAUUUUCGUUUAAACUUGUUAAGGAUGGUUUUUUUUAUUAAUAAUGGGGAUUUUAU